Mesoplodon densirostris (Blainville's beaked whale) is the source of this 1454-nucleotide RNA transcript. It is a transcript of the gene named glutaredoxin and cysteine rich domain containing 1, with no coding region annotated. NCBI's taxonomy places the organism in Eukaryota, Metazoa, Chordata, Mammalia, Artiodactyla, Ziphiidae. The transcript is spliced from 4 exons. The record is from RefSeq and is a predicted model, not a curated record.
GCGAAAGGGCCUGAGGCGUCAAGGGCUAAGAGCUGUGGGAAGGCACUGCGUGUUGGCUCCCCCGGGUGCAAUUCUAGCCUACCUGCACCGCCUGCAGCCCUCGCAACCUGAGUCGCACCUGCUCACCCGCCUGGUCCACGAGCAACAGGUUCUGAGGCCGGGGUCCUCGGGCGCUGGUGGCUCCUCUGCCCAUGGUGCUCAUGUGCGUCUGGGGCCGGCCUGCGAGUGGCCGGGUGCAUCCAGCUGGUGCGUGUUCUGCAGACUGACAAAGCUCUGGACUUGCACUAAAGUCAACUGUUGGGCCAGGUCCAGGAUCUCCUUGUAUAAAGCAGACUCCCUCUGGCUUGAUGAACAUGCAUCUGAAAAAAAUUAAAAGGCAUGCAGAAAGAAGCAGCAUCUGUUCUGAGAGCAAAGAAGAUGAAAACAUAAAUUAAAAAUUCAGUUCCAGUGAGCUGCCUUCUGUAUCUGAGUCAGAGAGAAGAGAGCCAGUUACACAAAAAAUCAUCUGUGGGGAAGCAUAAGGAGUUUGGAAUCAGCCACAUCUGCCUUUGAAUCCUCUCUGCCAUUUACUAGGUGCAUCAUCUUGAGUGCAGCCCAUUACCACACUAUCAUCGGUUUGGGACAAAAGACGAGUGAACAACACUGAGACAGAAUGUUCUUUCUGAGAAAUAGUCAGAUCUCGAUGAAAUUCGGAGCAGACUCCUUAGCAAGAGGAUUGUUUGUUCGCUGCUUGGCUGCAGGUUGGUCGGGGCUACUGUGUGUUUCCUAGAAGUCGAUGUUCUGAGAGUGAAACCCUGAUACACACUCACAGGAUGGGAUCCACAUUGCAGUUCAACCCUGUGAUCUUGUUUUCAUUGCAAAGAUACCCAAGCCUGUAAAACUUGAGUUUUGAAAGUUCAGCUUUGAUACUGUUAACCUGUUAAAAUGUGACAGUACAGAAAAGCAACGUGUCACACACCACAGAAUUUUCCAAAGCAGUUCUUGGCUGCAUGUGGGAGGAAAAGCUGCAUUUGUCUUCCUUUCAGCUUGACACCUGGACACCUACACUUAAGAGUGGGCUAGUCUGUUUGAUAACAGGCUCAGUUUUUGUCUCUACAAGGUGACAUCUCUGCUGGGAUAAAUAUUUAUUUAGUCUAGGAGACUGUUUUUGGAAACCAUGAGGAAGCUAGCAUUGUCUGGGGUCCAUCUUCCUUUACUGCUCUCUCUGCUACAAGAAAGCAGAAGUAUGUUGGUAGUAAACAAAGUCAGCAUUCUCCCACUUCACUAAGAAAACUAGCAAGAAAGGGAUCAGAAAAGGGAGAACAUAUUUAAUUUCUUUUGGGACCUACCGACUGGGUCCUCAUUUCUUUUAUGUUACUUUCUUAAAGCACUUGACAUGAGAUUCUGAGAAUCUGCUAAAACAUGUGUUCUGCUAAAACCUCAAGGCUGCCUGGUGUUCAGCAUCCUUUUCAGUA